This 332-nucleotide ribosomal RNA is filed under the name uncultured bacterium. Its description in RNAcentral is "bacterial SSU rRNA". It matches the Rfam family "Bacterial small subunit ribosomal RNA", at positions 568 to 898 of the family's 1533-position model. The record is from RNAcentral.
CGUGUAGGCGGUCGGUCAAGUCCGGUGUGAAAGCCCGGAGCUCAGCUCCGGAAGUGCAUCGGAAACUAGCCGACUAGAGCGCGAUAGAGGAGGGUGGAAUUCCUGGUGUAGCGGUGAAAUGCGUAGAUAUCAGGAGGAACACCGGCGGCGAAGGCGGCCCUCUGGCUCGUUGCUGACGCUGAUACGCGAAAGCGUGGGGAGCAAACAGGAUUAGAUACCCUGGUAGUCCACGCUGUAAACGAUGGGUACUAGGUGUUCGGGGUGUUGACCCCCUGAGUGCCGACGCUAACGCAUUAAGUACCCCGCCUGGGGACUACGGCCGCAAGGCUAAA